This 2528-nucleotide ribosomal RNA is filed under the name Escherichia coli. RNAcentral's name for it is "partial 23S ribosomal RNA". It matches the Rfam family "Bacterial large subunit ribosomal RNA", at positions 417 to 2925 of the family's 2925-position model. The record is from RNAcentral. Lineage: Bacteria; Pseudomonadati; Pseudomonadota; Gammaproteobacteria; Enterobacterales; Enterobacteriaceae.
GCGGGACACGUGGUAUCCUGUCUGAAUAUGGGGGGACCAUCCUCCAAGGCUAAAUACUCCUGACUGACCGAUAGUGAACCAGUACCGUGAGGGAAAGGCGAAAAGAACCCCGGCGAGGGGAGUGAAAAAGAACCUGAAACCGUGUACGUACAAGCAGUGGGAGCCUCUUAAUGGGGUGACUGCGUACCUUUUGUAUAAUGGGUCAGCGACUUAUAUUCUGUAGCAAGGUUAACCGAAUAGGGGAGCCGAAGGGAAACCGAGUCUUAACUGGGCGUUAAGUUGCAGGGUAUAGACCCGAAACCCGGUGAUCUAGCCAUGGGCAGGUUGAAGGUUGGGUAACACUAACUGGAGGACCGAACCGACUAAUGUUGAAAAAUUAGCGGAUGACUUGUGGCUGGGGGUGAAAGGCCAAUCAAACCGGGAGAUAGCUGGUUCUCCCCGAAAGCUAUUUAGGUAGCGCCUCGUGAAUUCAUCUCCGGGGGUAGAGCACUGUUUCGGCAAGGGGGUCAUCCCGACUUACCAACCCGAUGCAAACUGCGAAUACCGGAGAAUGUUAUCACGGGAGACACACGGCGGGUGCUAACGUCCGUCGUGAAGAGGGAAACAACCCAGACCGCCAGCUAAGGUCCCAAAGUCAUGGUUAAGUGGGAAACGAUGUGGGAAGGCCCAGACAGCCAGGAUGUUGGCUUAGAAGCAGCCAUCAUUUAAAGAAAGCGUAAUAGCUCACUGGUCGAGUCGGCCUGCGCGGAAGAUGUAACGGGGCUAAACCAUGCACCGAAGCUGCGGCAGCGACACUAUGUGUUGUUGGGUAGGGGAGCGUUCUGUAAGCCUGUGAAGGUGGCCUGUGAGGGUUGCUGGAGGUAUCAGAAGUGCGAAUGCUGACAUAAGUAACGAUAAAGCGGGUGAAAAGCCCGCUCGCCGGAAGACCAAGGGUUCCUGUCCAACGUUAAUCGGGGCAGGGUGAGUCGACCCCUAAGGCGAGGCCGAAAGGCGUAGUCGAUGGGAAACAGGUUAAUAUUCCUGUACUUGGUGUUACUGCGAAGGGGGGACGGAGAAGGCUAUGUUGGCCGGGCGACGGUUGUCCCGGUUUAAGCGUGUAGGCUGGUUUUCCAGGCAAAUCCGGAAAACCAAGGCUGAGGCGUGAUGACGAGGCACUACGGUGCUGAAGUGACAAAUGCCCUGCUUCCAGGAAAAGCCUCUAAGCAUCAGGUAACAUCAAAUCGUACCCCAAACCGACACAGGUGGUCAGGUAGAGAAUACCAAGGCGCUUGAGAGAACUCGGGUGAAGGAACUAGGCAAAAUGGUGCCGUAACUUCGGGAGAAGGCACGCUGAUAUGUAGGUGAAGCGACUUGCUCGUGGAGCUGAAAUCAGUCGAAGAUACCAGCUGGCUGCAACUGUUUAUUAAAAACACAGCACUGUGCAAACACGAAAGUGGACGUAUACGGUGUGACGCCUGCCCGGUGCCGGAAGGUUAAUUGAUGGGGUUAGCGGUAACGCGAAGCUCUUGAUCGAAGCCCCGGUAAACGGCGGCCGUAACUAUAACGGUCCUAAGGUAGCGAAAUUCCUUGUCGGGUAAGUUCCGACCUGCACGAAUGGCGUAAUGAUGGCCAGGCUGUCUCCACCCGAGACUCAGUGAAAUUGAACUCGCUGUGAAGAUGCAGUGUACCCGCGGCAAGACGGAAAGACCCCGUGAACCUUUACUAUAGCUUGACACUGAACAUUGAGCCUUGAUGUGUAGGAUAGGUGGGAGGCUUUGAAGUGUGGACGCCAGUCUGCAUGGAGCCGACCUUGAAAUACCACCCUUUAAUGUUUGAUGUUCUAACGUUGGCCCGUAAUCCGGGUUGCGGACAGUGUCUGGUGGGUAGUUUGACUGGGGCGGUCUCCUCCUAAAGAGUAACGGAGGAGCACGAAGGUUGGCUAAUCCUGGUCGGACAUCAGGAGGUUAGUGCAAUGGCAUAAGCCAGCUUGACUGCGAGCGUGACGGCGCGAGCAGGUGCGAAAGCAGGUCAUAGUGAUCCGGUGGUUCUGAAUGGAAGGGCCAUCGCUCAACGGAUAAAAGGUACUCCGGGGAUAACAGGCUGAUACCGCCCAAGAGUUCAUAUCGACGGCGGUGUUUGGCACCUCGAUGUCGGCUCAUCACAUCCUGGGGCUGAAGUAGGUCCCAAGGGUAUGGCUGUUCGCCAUUUAAAGUGGUACGCGAGCUGGGUUUAGAACGUCGUGAGACAGUUCGGUCCCUAUCUGCCGUGGGCGCUGGAGAACUGAGGGGGGCUGCUCCUAGUACGAGAGGACCGGAGUGGACGCAUCACUGGUGUUCGGGUUGUCAUGCCAAUGGCACUGCCCGGUAGCUAAAUGCGGAAGAGAUAAGUGCUGAAAGCAUCUAAGCACGAAACUUGCCCCGAGAUGAGUUCUCCCUGAGACUUAGAGUCUCCUGAAGGAACGUUGAAGACGACGACGUUGAUAGGCCGGGUGUGUAAGCGCAGCGAUGCGUUGAGCUAACCGGUACUAAUGAACCGUGAGGCUUAACCUU